Long non-coding RNA from Cyprinus carpio (common carp), 696 nucleotides. RefSeq lists it as uncharacterized. The transcript has 4 exons. The record is from RefSeq and is a predicted model, not a curated record. Lineage: Eukaryota; Metazoa; Chordata; Actinopteri; Cypriniformes; Cyprinidae.
UAUUAAUGUUGUAACCUGCUGUCGGUGGCAUCAGUACUAAAGUAAAGCUUAAAUACUGUGCUGGUGACUGCCAAAGUGGAUGCAUCAAUAUAGGCAUUGCAAUAACACUUUCUGUGUGCUGUGACGCUGACCUUUGUAACAGCCAAGAUGCUCCGGACCCCAGCUCUCUUGUCCCCAGUGGAAAGAAAUGUUACUCUUGUGAUGGACAGAGCUUCUCAAACAUAUUGAGCUGUUCAGGGAGUGAAGAGCACUGCAUUUCAGCAACAGGGAGUUUCAGAGGCCAAUCAGUGGUUGUAAAGGCUGUGUCUCUGAAUAUAUUUCUAAUACAACAACAUCUGCUGCUCAGGGAGCCUCACACUGUGAGGGGAACCUGUGUAACGGUGUUUAGAGUUUCCUUCUGAAAUCAUUCUAACAUGCUGAUUUAUUAUCAGUGUUGGAAACAGUUGUGCUGCUUAAUUUUUUAUUUUUUUUUGGAACCUGUGAUACUAUUUUGGGGUUCAUUGAUAAAUAAAAAGAACCGCAUUUAUUCAAAAUAGAAAUGUUUUCUAACAAUAAAAAUCUUCACUAUCCCUUUUUCUAUAAAUUUAACAUCCUUGCUGAAUAAAUUUAAUUUCUUUAAAAAUAAAUAAAUAAAAUAAAUAAAAUACUGACCUCAAGCUUUUAAACAGUGUGUAUUGUUACAAAAGUUAGCAUUUA